RNAcentral lists this ribosomal RNA (93 nucleotides) under Escherichia coli. RNAcentral's name for it is "partial 16S ribosomal RNA". It matches the Rfam family "Bacterial small subunit ribosomal RNA", at positions 1 to 87 of the family's 1533-position model. The record is from RNAcentral. Lineage: Bacteria; Pseudomonadati; Pseudomonadota; Gammaproteobacteria; Enterobacterales; Enterobacteriaceae.
UUAAAUUGAAGAGUUUGAUCAUGGCUCAGAUUGAAUGCUGGCGGCAGGCCUAACACAUGCAAGUCGAACGGUAACAGGAAACAGCUUGCUGUU